UACGUAGGUGGCAAGCGUUGUCCGGAUUUAUUGGGUUUAAAGGGUGCGUAGGCGGUCAAAUAAGUCAGUUGUGAAAUACGGCAGCUCAACUGUCGAGGUGCAAUUGAUACUGUUUGACUUGAGUACUGUUGAGGUAGGCGGAAUGGACGGUGUAGCGGUGAAAUGCUUAGAGAUCGUCCAGAACACCGAUAGCGAAGGCAGCUUACUAAAGAGUAACUGACGCUGAGGCACGAAAGUGCGGGGAUCAAACAGG
RNAcentral lists this ribosomal RNA (253 nucleotides) under uncultured bacterium. Its description in RNAcentral is "partial 16S ribosomal RNA". It matches the Rfam family "Bacterial small subunit ribosomal RNA", at positions 524 to 776 of the family's 1533-position model. The record is from RNAcentral.